Molecule: ribosomal RNA, 436 nt
Filed under: uncultured Oscillibacter sp.
Lineage: Bacteria; Bacillati; Bacillota; Clostridia; Eubacteriales; Oscillospiraceae
Description: partial 16S ribosomal RNA
Rfam family: Bacterial small subunit ribosomal RNA
Source: RNAcentral
ACGGGAGGCAGCAGUGGGGAAUAUUGGGCAAUGGGGGGAACCCUGACCCAGCAACGCCGCGUGAAGGAAGAAGGCUUUCGAGUUGUAAACUUCUUUGACAGGGGAAGAGGAGAAGACGGUACCCUGAAAACAAGCCACGGCUAACUACGUGCCAGCAGCCGCGGUAAUACGUAGGUGGCGAGCGUUGUCCGGAUUUACUGGGUGUAAAGGGCGUGUAGCCGGGUUGGCAAGUCAGGUGUGAAAGACAUAGGCUUAACCUAUGGAGUGCAUUUGAAACUGUUGAUCUUGAGUAUCGGAGAGGCAAUCGGAAUUCCUUGUGUAGCGGUGAAAUGCGUAGAUAUAAGGAGGAACACCAGUGGCGAAGGCGGAUUGCUGGACGACAACUGACGGUGAGGCGCGAAAGUGUGGGGAGCGAACAGGAUUAGAUACCCUGGUA